This is a long non-coding RNA of Myotis davidii, 2911 nucleotides long. RefSeq lists it as uncharacterized. The record is from RefSeq and is a predicted model, not a curated record. NCBI's taxonomy places the organism in Eukaryota, Metazoa, Chordata, Mammalia, Chiroptera, Vespertilionidae. The transcript is spliced from 3 exons.
AAACAACGCUGGAGGUAGUUGAGAGCGAGUAACUGCGGGAGAGAAGUCAGGGGGGUUUCUGCCUGCACGAACCUGGGCUGUUUGCUGCAUGACCUGGGUCCUAGGGAGGGAUGGAGACUUGAGAGUCCUGGCCCCUUGGUCCUGAGGAGGCAGGGCGCCCAAGAGAGGAGGGGAUUGAGGACCCGUAGGAGGAGUAACGAGGGGCCUAGACUUCUGGGUCUGAGGGAGGAGGGGAAGGCGAGGCCCUAGACUUAGGAUUCUGAGGGAGGAGGAAACUGGGAACCUGAAAGGUUGGGGGCCAGGGGUGAGGACUCCUUGGUCCCAAGAGUCAGUGGCCUGUCCACAGAUGACAGAUUUGAAGGUCAGUAUUUUAAUGCGGCUAUUGAUGGGAUUGGAGCCAGGCCUUGUCCCCGGGCAAGGGUUCUGGAUUCUGAGCUGGGGCUUGACUGGAGAGGAGGGGAAGAAGCUUGGGAGAAGCUCUGGCCUCCACAUGCCCUUUCCUCGCCCCUGAGGGGGACGCCAGGGGCAGGGUGCUAUCUGCAAAAGGAACCCGCAGAGUGGCAGGAGGCUGGAAACCCACCUGGAGACAGAGAAAAGCGUAGAUACCAAUGGAGACAUUCAAGUAUUGAUUUUCUUCUUUAAAAGUGGGAUGCCUUUCAGAGAAGCAGGAAAGAUUGGAUACUGAGUGGGCACCCACAGCACGCCGAUUGCUCGCUCCUUUAGGAAGCAGUUUCUUUUAUGGAUCAGAUCUCAGAACCUGGCGCAGUUCUGCUUUCGCGUCCAAACUUCUUGAAUGGGGUCCUACGGCUCCCCGUCCGCACCAGUUCUGAAAGCGAUGACGUCGGGUGGUGUUACCUGGUUCUCCAACUGAGUAAGGAAGACCCAGAGAAUUGUUUGGAAUUCACAGUAUUUUCGAGAAGAUAGGACAGGUAUUCAUAGAGAAUCAGCAUUCAGAACCGUGGUUCCCCAUUUCGGCUCUGCCGGUCUGCAAACUGGACGCAAAGGGGCCACAUGCGAACCUAACUAACUCAGGCGGCCUGGCACACUCAAGGGACCUAAAGUAACCACAAAGGAUGGUCUGAAAUUAGAGCCUUUAAUUGAAAAACAGUUUAUUGUGGGCAGUCAUGUCCCUGUAUCUUCUCUGACAAAGAUCAGCUUCAGUUUUUACUGAGCCUGUUGUCUUUUUCAUCUAAGAUAGCCCACCUGUGGACUGUCAGGGCGACUUCCCUUUGCCGGACCCCUCAGGGCACAGACCACAAAAGUCCUCAUUGUUAUUGUUACCAUGUUAAUCUUUGCCUGUUAGCUGUCCUGUACCCCCCUAUGUAAAAGGCGCAUGUGUUGGAUGGAGGGCUGUCUGGCUGCGACAUCUGCCCCAGGAAACUGAUCGGGAGUUGAUUCGACUGAUCUGACUGGCUAGGCCGGUGUCCCCCUCCUCCCCACCGAUCCAUGUGCAUCCCUCCCGAAUCUGCGCUCCGUGGAAGAGGACGUCCUUCCCCCCAGAAGAGAGGACCGGUCUUCCGUCAGCGCCCCUCCCCACUUACAGCCCCCACCCGACCCCUGGAACCAGCGGGUCCCACGACAGUGACAUGGCGCAGGGCUCGUCUCGCUGUGACGCUGACUUCACCGAGCAGAACGUCCUCCAGGUUCAUCCACGGUGUCGAGCGGCGGCGUUUCCUUCUUUCUUCCGAGGCUGAGUCACAGCCUCUGCGUGUGCGCCGCAGGCUCCUUCCCCAGCCGCCUGUGGACAGGCACGGAGGUUGUUGCCAGUCUCGGCGGUUGUGAUAACGCUGCAGUGAACGUGCAGGCGCAGACAUUCAGCCAGCUGUCAGCGGGAAGCGGGCGCCGCCGGUUCUCAUCCUGCACGGAAAUGAACCUGCCCACACUGAGAGCUUCCUCCGUGGGUAAGCCCCAGGGGAGACGAGCCCCAGCUCCUCCCGCCCAGGCUGUGCUAUUUUAAACUUGAGUUUGGGUCCAUUUACAGCGAUAGGUAACUAAUAUCGUUUAUUAACGGUACGGCCUGAAGGAAGUUGUAUAUAUUUCCUGGGCCUCAGUUCUCUCCUCCUCAGAACAGGUUAACAACAGCCCCCUCCCUUCUGUUAGGUGUUGCUGAGGAUGAAGUGAUUGGCGCCCGGGUCAUCCUUGGGCCGAUGCCCAGCCGCCUGACAGCCUCGGUCCCUGUGCCUGUGUCAUCGUGGCCUCGUGGCGAUGCGCUUUUUCUCCUUCCUCACUCUCCCUCCCUCUUUCCCCUCGUCACCUCUGUCGUUUUCUGCCUUAAUUCUAACAUAUCCUCUCCUUUUCUAGAAUUUCAUUUCUUUGCCCGUAUAGUCUUGGCUGCCAAAACCUCCGUUAUCUCGUGGUCAUUUAUCUGACAACCUCAACUAUUUGAAAUAUACCCGAGAUGCUCCAAAAGCCAAAAUUGAUUCCAUGUAGAAAAUGCACCGAAGUGACACUCUUGACUGGUUGAGGCGACUCUGAGGUUCUUGUUUGCUGAGUUAAACCGCCGGGAAGUAAACAUUUAACAUGCGGAGUGGGAUCUGGGAGGAAGCAUCCUCACAGCAGUCACAGUGCGAUCGAGACAAGCUGAGCGGGGAGGAACCUGAAGACUCUAAAAGGCAAGAACAACCACAAAGCAGUUCAGGCAGAGACAGGCAGUGCGUCCCGGUCCCCACAGGCAUCACCGGGCAGGGGCAUGUCUUGUUGGACCAGCACAUCCUCUGCACUUUGUUUCCAAUGUGUGUAUAAUGGCAGUGUUGUCACCAAAGGGGCCACAAAGUCCAUUCUACUCUAAUUAGGAGAGCAGAGGGUAUAGUUUAUCUUUCCAGCCUUGAAAUGCAUGUGCAUGAUAGAGUAUUAUAAAUAUAUAUUUCAAACAUAUUUAUGUUUAUUAUAAAAUAAGAGCUCUCUCGUCCAC